GGCUAUGGCCAUACCACCCUGAACGCGCCUGAUCUCAUUUGAUCUCUGAAGCUAAGCAGGGUCAGGUCUACUCAGUACUUGGAGGGAAGUCCACCUGGGUAUACUGGAUACUGUAGGUU
Loxodonta africana (African savanna elephant) is the source of this 119-nucleotide ribosomal RNA. NCBI's taxonomy places the organism in Eukaryota, Metazoa, Chordata, Mammalia, Proboscidea, Elephantidae. The record is from Ensembl.